Molecule: ribosomal RNA, 305 nt
Filed under: uncultured bacterium
Lineage: Bacteria
Description: bacterial SSU rRNA
Rfam family: Bacterial small subunit ribosomal RNA
Source: RNAcentral
GUCCUACGGGACGCAGCAGUGAGGAAUAUUGGUCAAUGGCCGGAAGGCUGAACCAGCCAAGUCGCGUGAGGGAAUAAGGCCCUAUGGGUCGUAAACCUCUUUUGUCAGGGAGCAAAGGCGUCCACGUGUGGACGAGAGGAGAGUACCUGAAGAAAAAGCAUCGGCUAACUCCGUGCCAGCAGCCGCGGUAAUACGGAGGAUGCAAGCGUUAUCCGGAUUUAUUGGGUUUAAAGGGUGCGUAGGCGGUUCGAUAAGUUAGAGGUGAAAUCCCGGGGCUCAACUCCGGCACUGCCUCUGAUACUGUC